UACGUAGGGGGCAAGCGUUGUUCGGAUUUAUUGGGCGUAAAGAGCGUGUAGGCGGCCAGGUAGGUCUGCUGUGAAAACUCGAGGCUUAACCUCGAGCUGUCGGCGGAAACCAUCUGGCUAGAGUCCGUAAGAGGAGAAUGGAAUUCCCGGUGUAGCGGUGAAAUGCGCAGAUAUCGGGAAGAACACCCGUGGCGAAGGCGGUUCUCUGGGACGGUACUGACGCUGAGACGCGAAAGCGUGGGGAGCGAACAGG
RNAcentral lists this ribosomal RNA (253 nucleotides) under uncultured bacterium. RNAcentral's name for it is "partial 16S ribosomal RNA". It matches the Rfam family "Bacterial small subunit ribosomal RNA", at positions 524 to 776 of the family's 1533-position model. The record is from RNAcentral.